RNA transcript from Lycium barbarum (goji berry), 2282 nucleotides. It is a transcript of the gene named protein indeterminate-domain 5, chloroplastic-like, with no coding region annotated. The transcript has 6 exons. The record is from RefSeq and is a predicted model, not a curated record. NCBI's taxonomy places the organism in Eukaryota, Viridiplantae, Streptophyta, Magnoliopsida, Solanales, Solanaceae.
AAAAGAAAAAAAAGGGUAUGGAUAUGUGUUUGUGUAUAUGCAUGACACCUAAAACACAUAUAGAGGAACCUCAUAGCAUCUUUUCUUGACAAAUUCAUUUAUACCAAAAGGGUUGAAGGAUAACAAAAAGAACAUCAAAUAGCUCAUCAUGGGAUGAAUCUCUUCCUUACUCAAAAAAAAAAAAAAUACUCAGUCACUCACUUAAUUUUAUGUUAGCUAAAAUUCAUUUGCAGCAACAAGGUUGAGUUUCUUGAUAAGAAGAGGAACAAGAAAUUAAUUUAAAGAUGGAUGGAGGGUCAUCAUCAGCUAUGUUUCUUGCAAUGAGGGAAGAAUUACAAAAUCAACAUGAGAUGAAUCAACAAGGAAUUUUACUUCAUCAUCAACAGGCUCAAUCCUCAACCAUGGCUCAAUCUCAAGCUCAAGCAACAACAAAGAAGAGAAGAAAUCAACCUGGAACACCAAAUCCAGACGCAGAAGUGAUAGCAUUAUCACCAUAUACCCUAAUGGCAACAAACAGAUACUUAUGUGAGGUAUGCAACAAAGGAUUCCAAAGAGAACAAAAUUUACAACUCCACAGAAGAGGACACAAUUUGCCUUGGAAGCUAAAGCAAAAGAAUCCAAAUGAAGUAGCAAAACGCAAGGUGUAUCUUUGUCCAGAACCAACAUGUGUUCACCAUGAACCUAGCAGAGCACUUGGUGACCUCACUGGGGUUAAAAAACAUUACUUCAGAAAACAUGGUGAGAAGAAAUACAAGUGUGAGAAGUGUUCAAAGAAGUAUGCUGUUCAGUCUGAUUGGAAAGCACAUAGCAAAACCUGUGGCACUCGUGAGUAUAGAUGUGAUUGUGGCACUCUUUUCUCAAGGCGUGACAGUUUCAUCACACAUAGAGCCUUUUGUGAUGCCCUUGCUCAAGAAAGUACAAGAAAUCCACCCACCCUGAGUGCCAUUGGCAACCAAUUCUUAUAUGGAAAUAGCAACAACAUAAAUUUGGGCUUGUCCAAAUUGGGUUCCAGUAUUAACAACACAAAGACUAAUGGUUGUCAAUUUGAUAACAACCUCAUUAUUGGAACACCCAUUGGCUCUUCUUCUUCCUUUUUCCUUCAAGAAUCAAAUCAAGAUUAUGCCAACAUGAAGCCAAUGGUCCAUGGCCUAAUGCAACUCCCUAAUCUUGAUCAGAACAAUAAUAAUACUCCUAGUAUGUUUGGCCUCAAUUUUUUCCAGAACAAUAGCAGCAAUAUUGGUGUUGGCAAUAGCAAUAAUUUGUCCACAAGUGGUAUUUUGGGUGAUCACAAUAAUAUUAGUUGUUCAAUGCCUUCACUUUAUGGCUCACAAGUUGAGAAUAGUAGUACUUGUUCAGCUGCACCAGUAAUGUCAGCCACAGCACUUCUUCAAAAGGCAGCUCAAAUUGGAUCUACUACAAGUAAUAUUAGCACCAAUGCUACAUUGCUCAAAGCCUUUGGAAGUACUAAUACUGGUAUAGAUGGUUCAUCUUCUAGUGGCACAAAAUCUGAUCACCAAGCUCUCAACUGUGGCAAUGACAUUUCAGAUGGUGUAAUGAAUGCUUAUGGAGGUGGAUCACAAGGGUACAAUACAGCAACCAAGUUAAGUUUUGAGCAGCAUCAACCACCUCAGAAGAAACAAUUAACCAGAGAUUUCCUUGGAGUUGGAGAGAUAGUAAGAAGUAUGAGUGGAGGAUUUAGUAGCCAAAGAGAACAACAACAACAACAACAGCAGCAUAAUGGAUUGAACAUGAUGAGCUCAUUAUUUGAUCCAGAGAGAAAUCAAAGCCAGCUGAGUUUUGGAAAUGCUGGCAAUUUUCAAUGACUUGUUCAGGAGAAAAGGUAAAAGUUAAAUGAAGAAAGAAGGAAAGCACAGGAAAGUACAGGGUAUGCAUGUAUGUUUGGAAGGAGGAGAAUAUUAAGCAUGAAGCAGAUAGCUGUAAUUUGAAGUUUUUUUUCCAAGGUUUUAGCAGACAAUUAGAAAACUUGCUUCAGGGGAUAGCUUUAGAAAACCAAAAAAAAAAGAACUUUCUUUGUUAUUAUUUUUUUUUCUUUUUACUCGUUAAGACCUUUUUUUGUCCUUUUGGUUGUUGUGUUCUAUAGUUUUGACCCUAUUUCUUUAGUCCUUUCUUUUUGGUUUUCGAACUGUUCUGGAAAAUAGGACAUGACACAGACAAUAUAUAGCUUUCUUAAGAAACUCUUUACAUCUAGAUGACUUCAAUCCUUGUUUAUAAAUUUGAUCAUCAGAUGACAUAUCUAGACGAAUGUUUUUAUAACGUUUUAA